Molecule: ribosomal RNA, 883 nt
Filed under: uncultured bacterium
Lineage: Bacteria
Description: bacterial SSU rRNA
Rfam family: Bacterial small subunit ribosomal RNA
Source: RNAcentral
GGGCGGUAGGGGAUGCUACACAUGCAGUCGAACGGAAACGAUGGAAGCUUGCUUCCAGGCGUCGAGUGGCGGACGGCUGUGUAAUACUUAGGAAUCUGCCCAGUAGUGGGGGACAACCGGCAGAAAUUCUGGCUAAUACCGCAUACACACUACGGUGGAAAGUGGAGGAUCUUCGGACUUCACGCUAUUGGAUGAGCCUAAGUCGGAUUAGCUUGUUGGUGAGGUAACGGCUCACCAAGGCGACGAUCCGUAGCUGGUCUGAGAGGACGAUCAGCCACACUGGGACUGAGACACGGCCCAGACUCCUACGGGAGGCAGCAGUGGGGAAUAUUGGACAAUGGGCGCAAGCCUGAUCCAGCAAUGCCGCGUGUGUGAAGAAGGCCUGCGGGUUGUAAAGCACUUUCAGUAGAGAAGAAAAGCCUAGGGUUAGUACCCCUGAGUCUUGACGUUACCUACAGAAGAAGCACCGGCUAACUCCGUGCCAGCAGCCGCGGUAAUACGGAGGGUGCGAGCGUUAAUCGGAAUUACUGGGCGUAAAGCGCGCGUAGGCGGCUUUGUAAGUCGGAUGUGAAAGCCCCGGGCUUAACCUGGGAAUUGCAUUCGAUACUGCAGAGCUAGAGUAUGGUAGAGGGAAGUGGAAUUUCCGGUGUAGCGGUGAAAUGCGUAGAUAUCGGAAGGAACACCAGUGGCGAAGGCGACUUCCUGGGGCCAUACUGACGCUGAGGUGCGAAAGCGUGGGGAGCAAACAAGAAUAGAUACCCUGGUAGUCCACGCCGUAAACAAUGAGAACUAGAUGGCGGGAAGGUCUGCCUUUUCGUGUCCCACCUAACGCGUUAAGUUCUCCGCCUGGGAAGAACGCCGGCACCGUAAACGAAUUCCCGGG